This 648-nucleotide unclassified non-coding RNA is filed under the name Pachydesus cf. rufipes ZSM L564. Its description in RNAcentral is "partial contains 16S ribosomal RNA (rrnL) and tRNA-Leu (trnL)". The stretch from base 338 to 496 matches the Rfam family "Bacterial large subunit ribosomal RNA", at positions 2473 to 2632 of the family's 2925-position model. Lineage: Eukaryota; Metazoa; Arthropoda; Insecta; Coleoptera; Carabidae. The record is from RNAcentral.
AAUGGCCGCAGUAUUUUGACUGUGCAAAGGUAGCAUAAUCAUUAGUUUUUUAAUUAAAAGCUUGUAUGAAAGGUUGGACGAAGUAAAUUCUGUCUCUAUUUAAAUUAAAAUAGAAUUUAAUUUUUAAGUUAAAAAGCUUAAAUUUUUAUAAAAGACGAGAAGACCCUAUAGAGUUUUAUAAAUAAUAAUUUAUAUUUAUUUAAGAUUAUUUUAUUUUAUUAAUAAUUAUUUAUUUUAUUGGGGUAAUAGAAAGAUUAAUAUAAUUCUUUUUUUGUUAAACAUAGAUUAAUGAUUAAUUGAUCCAUUAUUAUUGAUUAAAAGAUUAAAUUACCUUAGGGAUAACAGCGUAAUUUUUUUAAAGAGUUCAUAUCGAUAAAAAAGUUUGCGACCUCGAUGUUGGAUUAAAGAUUAGUUUAGGUGCAGAAAUUUAAAUUUUUGGUCUGUUCGACCAUUAAAUCUUUACAUGAUCUGAGUUCAGACCGGUGUAAGCCAGGUCGGUUUCUAUCUUUAUUAUAUUAUUAUAUUUUAGUACGAAAGGACCAAAUAUAAAUUAAAAUUUUAAUUAUUUUAUUGAAUAUUAUUGUUAUUUUGGCAGAUUAGUGCAAUGAAUUUAGAAUUCAUAAAUGUAAUUUUAUUUACAGAUAAUAU